This 504-nucleotide ribosomal RNA is filed under the name uncultured bacterium. RNAcentral describes it as "partial 16S ribosomal RNA". It matches the Rfam family "Bacterial small subunit ribosomal RNA", at positions 30 to 523 of the family's 1533-position model. The record is from RNAcentral.
AUUGAACGCUGGCGGCAGGCCUAACACAUGCAAGUCGAACGGUAGCACAGAGAGCUUGCUCUUGGGUGACGAGUGGCGGACGGGUGAGUAAUGUCUGGGAAACUGCCCGAUGGCGGGGGAUAACUACUGGAAACGGUAGCUAAUACCGCAUAACGUCUUCGGACCAAAGUGGGGGACCUUCGGGCCUCACACCAUCGGAUGUGCCCAGAUGGGAUUAGCUAGUAGGUGGGGUAAUGGCUCACCUAGGCGACGAUCCCUAGCUGGUCUGAGAGGAUGACCAGCCACACUGGAACUGAGACACGGUCCAGACUCCGACGGGAGGCAGCAGUGGGGAAUAUUGCACAAGGGGCGCAAGCCUGAUGCAGCCAUGCCGCGUGUAUGAAGAAGGCCUUCGGGUUGUAAAGUACUUUCAGCGGGGAGGAAGGCGAUGAGGUUAAUAACCGCAUCGAUUGACGUUACCCGCAGAAGAAGCACCGGCUAACUCCGUGCCAGCCGCCGCGGUAA